This 1047-nucleotide long non-coding RNA is filed under the name Sus scrofa (pig). RNAcentral's name for it is "lncRNA (ENSSSCG00035009984.1)". The record is from RNAcentral. Lineage: Eukaryota; Metazoa; Chordata; Mammalia; Artiodactyla; Suidae.
AUGAAUGUCAGGAAAGGCCUUAAUCUAAUAUUUAUUCAUUCAUUUUUUUUAAUUGCCCAGUUGCCAAGCCUUGUUCUCUAUGGUGACAGAGAAGCAGGAAGAACUUCUGUUAAGCUGAAAUUGAUGUUCAAAGUAAAGCUAUUUCUCAGAAGAGUAGCGACUUGGGGCAAAGCAAUAAAACUAAGACAAAAGAACAAAGGUGAGAAAAUCAUGGGUCCAAUCUGAAGAAUAACCAUAAAAUUGCUGAACAGAAAAAUCAGGUUACUUUCCUAAAAAUUCCAUUGUUUGAGCUGUUCUAUUGUUAAUUUUUUUUAAAGAUUGAUAUAUAAACUAGAAAGAAAAUCUAUCAAACAUCUGAUGAAUUGUUCACUUUCAUUUCUAAUGUCUUGAAUUCAAUUUUUACUGAAAAUAUAAUGUAGUCUGUAUUAGUGGAGGAACAAACCAGUGGAGGUACAAACCCUAUUGUCUGUCUGUGUGUCUGUCUGUCUGUCUGUCUAUCUAUCUAUCUAUCUAUCUAUCUAUCUUAGCCUUUCAACUAUACCUUUACCAAAAGUCUAAUCUGAAAAAACAUAUUUAGCUAAUAUUUUCCAUAUCAUAUUUAGUAUGAAGGAUAGUGAUUUUGAAAAAUCCAAAAAGAAUAAGCCAAGAAAACUGAAAUGGCAUUGACCAAAGGAAACAUGGCUGGACAGGAGGAAAACUAUUUUAUUGUUCCCCCUGUUGAAUUGGUCAAAACCAAAUGACUGAAGUUUUAAAAUCAGGAAUGUGGAACUUUUGAAGAGAGAUUUUAAAAGAAAAUAUAUGGAAAAACCUACUGAAUGGUUUUAAACUACUCAAGUUCUAAGAACCUAUUCUAUUCUAGUGACAUUGAAUCAAGGCCAGAAAACUCAAUUAUCUCCUUUAAUUUUAUGGUUCAUGGUAGAGAAGAACAAUGCUUUAUCUAGUGUGCCCUAGUCUUCAAAAAAACAAAACAAAAGUUUCUGCUAGGUAUACAACUUAGCUUUUUGUGUCGAAAUGAUUUAGUCUAAUAAAAUGUCUAAUCUAUUCCCA